This 77-nucleotide transfer RNA is filed under the name Caldivirga sp. CIS_19. RNAcentral describes it as "tRNA-Thr". It matches the Rfam family "tRNA". Rfam says of the family: Transfer RNA (tRNA) molecules are approximately 80 nucleotides in length. RNAcentral also lists the same sequence under 2 other names. The record is from RNAcentral. Lineage: Archaea; Thermoproteati; Thermoproteota; Thermoprotei; Thermoproteales; Thermoproteaceae.
GCCCCGGUAGCUCAGCCCGGUAGAGCGCCCGCCUCGUAAGCGGAAGGUCCCGGGUUCGAAUCCCGGCCGGGGCUCCA